UCUUUUGGAGAGUUUGAUCCUGGCUCAGGACGAACGCUGGCGGCGUGCCUAAUACAUGCAAGUCGAGCGGACCGAAUAGAAGCUUGCUUCUGUUUGGUUAGCGGCGGACGGGUGAGUAACACGUGGGUAACCUGCCCGUAAGACGGGGAUAACUUCGGGAAACCGGAGCUAAUACCCGAUAAGUCUAAAGACCGCAUGGUCUUUAGUUGAAAGGCGGCUUCGGCUGUCACUUACGGAUGGGCCCGCGGCGCAUUAGCUAGUUGGUGAGGUAACGGCUCACCAAGGCGACGAUGCGUAGCCGACCUGAGAGGGUGAUCGGCCACACUGGGACUGAGACACGGCCCAGACUCCUACGGGAG
Molecule: ribosomal RNA, 359 nt
Filed under: Anoxybacillus sp. UARK-01
Lineage: Bacteria; Bacillati; Bacillota; Bacilli; Caryophanales; Anoxybacillaceae
Description: bacterial SSU rRNA
Rfam family: Bacterial small subunit ribosomal RNA
Source: RNAcentral